AUUGAACGCUGGCGGCAGGCCUAACACAUGCAAGUCGAGCGAGCGGCGGACGGGUGAGUAAUGUCUGGGAAACUGCCUGAUGGAGGGGGAUAACUACUGGAAACGGUAGCUAAUACCGCAUACCAUCAGAUGUGCCCAGAUGGGAUUAGCUAGUAGGUGGGGUAAUGGCUCCCCUAGGCGACGGUCCCUAGAUGGUCUGAGAGGAUGACCAGCCACACUGGAACUGAUACAAGGGCCAGACGCCUACGGUAGGCAGCAGGGGGGAAUAUUGCACAAUGGGCGCAAUCCUGAUGCAGCCAUGCCGCGUGUGUUAAGAAGGCCUUCGGGUUGGAAAGCACUUUCAGCGGGGAGGCGUUACCCGCAGAAGAAGAACCGGCUAACUCCGUGCCAGCCGCCGCGGUAAUUC
RNAcentral lists this ribosomal RNA (406 nucleotides) under uncultured bacterium. RNAcentral describes it as "partial 16S ribosomal RNA". It matches the Rfam family "Bacterial small subunit ribosomal RNA", at positions 30 to 526 of the family's 1533-position model. The record is from RNAcentral.